AGCGAACGCUGGCGGCAGGCCUAACACAUGCAAGUCGAACGCCCAGCAAUGGGAGUGGCAGACGGGAUAGUAACACGUGGGAACGCGCCCUUCGGUUCGGAAUAACUCAGGGAAACUUGAGCUAAUACCGGAUACGCCCUUACGGGGAAAGAUUUAUUGCCGAAGGAACGGCCCGCGUCGGAUUAGCUAGUUGGUGAGGUAAUGGCUCACCAAGGCGACGAUCCGUAGCUGGUCUGAGAGGAUGACCAGCAUCACUGGGACUGAGACACGGCCCAGACUCCUACGGGAGGCAGCAGUGGGGAAUAUUGGACAAUGGGCGCAAGCCUGAUCCAGCCAUGCCGCGUGGAUGAUGAAGGCCCUAGGGUUGUAAAGUCCUUUUAACGGGGAAGAUAAUGACGGUACCCGUAGAAUAAGCCCCGGCUAACUUCGUGCCAGCAGCCGCGGUAAUACGAAGGGGGCUAGCGUUGCUCGGAAUUACUGGGCGUAAAGCGCACGUAGGCGGGUCGAUAAGUCGGGGGUGAAAUCCUGGAGCUCAACUCCAGAACUGCCUUCGAAACUGUCGAUCUUGAGUUCGGGAGAGGUGAGUGGAACUGCGAGUGUAGAGGUGAAAUUCGUAGAUAUUCGCAAGAACACCAGUGGCGAAGGCGGCUCACUGGCCNCGAUACUGACGC
RNAcentral lists this ribosomal RNA (671 nucleotides) under uncultured bacterium. RNAcentral's name for it is "bacterial SSU rRNA". It matches the Rfam family "Bacterial small subunit ribosomal RNA", at positions 28 to 746 of the family's 1533-position model. The record is from RNAcentral.